Molecule: ribosomal RNA, 508 nt
Filed under: uncultured bacterium
Lineage: Bacteria
Description: bacterial SSU rRNA
Rfam family: Bacterial small subunit ribosomal RNA
Source: RNAcentral
GUUUGAUCCUGGCUCAGAUUGAACGCUGGCGGCAUGCCUUACACAUGCAAGUCGAACGGUAACAGGCCGCAAGGUGCUGACGAGUGGCGAACGGGUGAGUAAUACAUCGGAACGUGCCCGAUCGUGGGGGAUAACGCAGCGAAAGCUGUGCUAAUACCGCAUACGAUCUACGGAUGAAAGCGGGGGAUCGCAAGACCUCGCGCGGACGGAGCGGCCGAUGGCAGAUUAGGUAGUUGGUGGGGUAAAGGCCUACCAAGCCGACGAUCUGUAGCUGGUCUGAGAGGACGACCAGCCACACUGGGACUGAGACACGGCCCAGACUCCUACGGGAGGCAGCAGUGGGGAAUUUUGGACAAUGGGCGCAAGCCUGAUCCAGCCAUGCCGCGUGCAGGAUGAAGGCCUCGGUUGUAACUGCUUUGUACGGAACGAAAAGGUUUACGUUUUAAUUACUAGGGAACUGAUGACGGUACCGUAACGAAUAAGACACCGGCUAACUACGUAGCCAGCA